GUGGGUCACGGCCCACCAAGGCGACGACGGGUAGCCGGCCUGAGAGGGCGACCGGCCACACUGGGACUGAGACACGGCCCAGACUCCUACGGGAGGCAGCAGUGGGGAAUAUUGCGCAAUGGGCGGAAGCCUGACGCAGCGACGCCGCGUGAGGGAUGACGGCCUUCGGGUUGUAAACCUCUUUCAGCAGGGACGAAGCGAGAGUGACGGUACCUGCAGAAGAAGCACCGGCCAACUACGUGCCAGCAGCCGCGGUAAUACGUAGGGUGCAAGCGUUGUCCGGAAUUAUUGGGCGUAAAGAGCUCGUAGGCGGUCUGUCGCGUCGGCUGUGAAAUCUCGGGGCUCAACCCCGAGCCUGCAGUCGAUACGGGCAGACUAGAGUGCUGUAGGGGAGACUGGAAUUCCUGGUGUAGCGGUGAAAUGCGCAGAUAUCAGGAGGAACACCGGUGGCGAAGGCGGGUCUCUGGGCAGUAACUGACGCUGAGGAGCGAAAGCGUGGGGAGCGAACAGGAUUAGAUACCCUGGUAGUCCGCGCCGUAAACGGUGGGUGCUAGGUGUGAGCGGUAUUCCACGCCGUUCGUGCCGCAGCUAACGCAUUAAGCA
RNAcentral lists this ribosomal RNA (603 nucleotides) under uncultured Actinobacteridae bacterium. RNAcentral describes it as "bacterial SSU rRNA". It matches the Rfam family "Bacterial small subunit ribosomal RNA", at positions 252 to 866 of the family's 1533-position model. Lineage: Bacteria; Bacillati; Actinomycetota; Actinomycetes. The record is from RNAcentral.